GGCUCAGGAUGAACGCUAGCUACAGGCUUAACACAUGCAAGUCGAGGGGCAGCAUGAACUUAGCUUGCUAAGUUUGAUGGCGACCGGCGCACGGGUGAGUAACACGUAUCCAACCUGCCGAUGACUCGGGGAUAGCCUUUCGAAAGAAAGAUUAAUACCCGAUGGCAUAAUUCUUCCGCAUGGUAGAACUAUUAAAGAAUUUCGGUCAUCGAUGGGGAUGCGUUCCAUUAGGUUGUUGGCGGGUAACGGCCCACCAAGCCUUCGAUGGAUAGGGGUUCUGAGAGGAAGGUCCCCCACACUGGUACUGAGACACGGACCAGACUCCUACGGGAGGCAGCAGUGAGGAAUAUUGGUCAAUGGGCGAGAGCCUGAACCAGCCAAGUCGCGUGGAGGAAGACUGCCCUAUGGGUUGUAAACUCCUUUUACCUGGGAAUAACGGGCGCUACGUGUAGCGCUGUGCGUGUACCGGGAGAAUAAGCAUCGGCUAAUUCCGUG
This 495-nucleotide ribosomal RNA is filed under the name uncultured bacterium. RNAcentral describes it as "bacterial SSU rRNA". It matches the Rfam family "Bacterial small subunit ribosomal RNA", at positions 21 to 507 of the family's 1533-position model. The record is from RNAcentral.